RNAcentral lists this ribosomal RNA (245 nucleotides) under uncultured Lentzea sp. RNAcentral describes it as "partial 16S ribosomal RNA". It matches the Rfam family "Bacterial small subunit ribosomal RNA", at positions 524 to 768 of the family's 1533-position model. Lineage: Bacteria; Bacillati; Actinomycetota; Actinomycetes; Pseudonocardiales; Pseudonocardiaceae. The record is from RNAcentral.
UACGUAGGGUGCGAGCGUUGUCCGGAAUUAUUGGGCGUAAAGAGCUCGUAGGCGGUUUGUUGCGUCGGCCGUGAAAACUUGGGGCUUAACUCCGAGCUUGCGGUCGAUACGGGCAGACUUGAGUUCGGCAGGGGAGACUGGAAUUCCUGGUGUAGCGGUGAAAUGCGCAGAUAUCAGGAGGAACACCGGUGGCGAAGGCGGGUCUCUGGGCCGAUACUGACGCUGAGGAGCGAAAGCGUGGGGAG